RNAcentral lists this ribosomal RNA (497 nucleotides) under uncultured bacterium. RNAcentral's name for it is "partial 16S ribosomal RNA". It matches the Rfam family "Bacterial small subunit ribosomal RNA", at positions 28 to 507 of the family's 1533-position model. The record is from RNAcentral.
GAUGAACGCUGGCGGCGUGCCUAAUACAUGCAAGUCGAGCGAACAGACGAGGAGCUUGCUCCUUUGAUGUUAGCGGCGGACGGGUGAGUAACACGUAGGUAACCUACCUAUAAGACUGGGAUAACUUCGGGAAACCGGAGCUAAUACCGGAUAAUAUUUCGAACCGCAUGGUUCGAUAGUGAAAGAUGGCUUUGCUAUCACUUAUAGAUGGACCUGCGCCGUAUUAGCUAGUUGGUAAGGUAACGGCUUACCAAGGCAACGAUACGUAGCCGACCUGAGAGGGUGAUCGGCCACACUGGAACUGAGACACGGUCCAGACUCCUACGGGAGGCAGCAGUAGGGAAUCUUCCGCAAUGGGCGAAAGCCUGACGGAGCAACGCCGCGUGAGUGAUGAAGGUCUUCGGAUCGUAAAACUCUGUUAUUAGGGAAGAACAAACGUGUAAGUAACUGUGCACGUCUUGACGGUACCUAAUCAGAAAGCCACGGCUAACCACGUG